GACGAACGUUGGCGGCGUGCUUAAUACAUGCAAGUCAACUGAAGCAGAGGUAGUAAUAUCUCUGUGGAGGUGGCGCACGGGUGAGUAACACGUAGGUAAUCUGCCUUCAGGUCUGACAUAACCCCGAGAAAUCGGGGCUAAUAGCAGAUGAUGCAGCGGCUUGACAUCAAGACAGUUGUUAAAGCUUCGGCGCCUGAAGAUGAGCCUGCGCUGAUUAGCUAGUUGGCGGAGUAACAGCCCACCAAGGCUACGAUCAGUAGCUGGUCUGAGAGGAUGAUCAGCCACACUGGAACUGAGACACGGUCCAGACUCCUACGGGAGCAGCAGUAAGGAAUAUUGCUCAAU
This 345-nucleotide ribosomal RNA is filed under the name uncultured bacterium. Its description in RNAcentral is "bacterial SSU rRNA". It matches the Rfam family "Bacterial small subunit ribosomal RNA", at positions 28 to 372 of the family's 1533-position model. The record is from RNAcentral.